Molecule: ribosomal RNA, 253 nt
Filed under: uncultured bacterium
Lineage: Bacteria
Description: partial 16S ribosomal RNA
Rfam family: Bacterial small subunit ribosomal RNA
Source: RNAcentral
UACGUAGGGUGCAAGCGUUGUCCGGAAUUAUUGGGCGUAAAGAGCUCGUAGGCGGUCUGUCGCGUCUGCUGUGAAAACUCAGGGCUUAACCCUGAGUUUGCAGUGGGUACGGGCAGACUAGAGUGCGGUAGGGGAGACUGGAAUUCCUGGUGUAGCGGUGAAAUGCGCAGAUAUCAGGAGGAACACCGGUGGCGAAGGCGGGUCUCUGGGCCGUAACUGACGCUGAGGAGCGAAAGCAUGGGGAGCGAACAGG